RNAcentral lists this ribosomal RNA (245 nucleotides) under uncultured bacterium. Its description in RNAcentral is "partial small subunit ribosomal RNA". It matches the Rfam family "Bacterial small subunit ribosomal RNA", at positions 26 to 285 of the family's 1533-position model. The record is from RNAcentral.
AGAAUCAACGCUGGCGGCGUGCCUAACACAUGCAAGUCGCACGAGAAAGGGAGUUCGCUCCUGAGUAAAGUGGCGCACGGGUGAGUAACACGUGAAUCAUCUACCUCCGAAUGGGGAAUAACUGAGAGAAAUCUUAGCUAAUACCGCAUAAUACCUACGGGUCAAAGCAGCAAUGCGUUUGGAGAGGAGUUCGCGGUCGAUUAGUUAGUUGGCGGGGUAAUGGCCCACCAAGACGAUGAUCGAUA